GAAUGACUCCUGGCAAUGGAUAUCUUGGCUCUCGUGUCCAUGAAGAAUGUAGCGAAAUGCGACACUUGGUGUGAAUUGCAGAAUCCCGUGAACCAUCGAGUCUUUGAAUGCAAGUUGCGCACGAGGCCAUUAGGUCGAGUGCACGUCUGUUUGGGCGUCAUGU
RNAcentral lists this ribosomal RNA (163 nucleotides) under Allium ampeloprasum (leek). RNAcentral's name for it is "5.8S ribosomal RNA". It matches the Rfam family "5.8S ribosomal RNA". From Rfam's summary of the family: 5.8S ribosomal RNA (5.8S rRNA) is a component of the large subunit of the eukaryotic ribosome. It is transcribed by RNA polymerase I as part of the 45S precursor that also contains 18S and 28S rRNA. Functionally, it is thought that 5.8S rRNA may be involved in ribosome translocation. The record is from RNAcentral. Lineage: Eukaryota; Viridiplantae; Streptophyta; Magnoliopsida; Asparagales; Amaryllidaceae.